This 468-nucleotide ribosomal RNA is filed under the name uncultured bacterium. RNAcentral's name for it is "partial 16S ribosomal RNA". It matches the Rfam family "Bacterial small subunit ribosomal RNA", at positions 28 to 507 of the family's 1533-position model. The record is from RNAcentral.
GACGAACGCUGGCGGCGUGCUUAACACAUGCAAGUCGAACGGAAAGGCCCUGCUUUUGUGGGGUGCUCGAGUGGCGAACGGGUGAGUAACACGUGAGUAACCUGCCCUUGACUUUGGGAUAACUUCAGGAAACUGGGGCUAAUACCGGAUAGGAGCUCCUGCUGCAUGGUGGGGGUUGGAAAGUUUCGGCGGUUGGGGAUGGACUCGCGGCUUAUCGGCUUGUUGGUGGGGUUGUGGCUUACCAAGGCUUUGACGGGUAGCCGGCCUGAGAGGGUGACCGGCCACAUUGGGACUGAGAUACGGCCCAGACUCCUACGGGAGGCAGCAGUGGGGAAUAUUACACAAUGGGCGGAAGCCUGAUGCAGCAACGCCGCGUGCGGGAUGACGGCCUUCGGGUUGUAAACCGCUUUCGCCUGUGACGAAGCGUGAGUGACGGUAAUGGGUAAAGAAGCACCGGCUAACUACGUG